AAUUUGACGGUAUUAACUUUUACAAAGGAAUUUGUUUCUUAAUCGAAAAUACACGACAAACCUUACUUAAUUUUUAUUUGUAUACCACCGUAUAAGAAAUUAUUUAAAAUAAAUUUCGAAAAAAAAAAUUCCUAUUACAUCAGGUCAAGGUGCAAUAUAAUUAAGAUGAAAUGAAUUACAUUAAAUUAUUUUAUAUAUAUAUAUAAAAAAUGAAAACCUUUUUUAAAAAUAGAAUUUGUUAGUAAAAUUAUAUCAUAAUGAUAAAUUGAAAAUUACUAUUAAUAUGUACAUAUCGCCCG
This 299-nucleotide ribosomal RNA is filed under the name Epiperipatus brasiliensis. RNAcentral describes it as "partial small subunit ribosomal RNA". Lineage: Eukaryota; Metazoa; Onychophora; Udeonychophora; Euonychophora; Peripatidae. The record is from RNAcentral.